AGUUAUAUAGUCUAUAGAGGAUAUUAAAUUGCAAAUUUAGAGGUGAAAAAUUUUCUAUAACUU
This 63-nucleotide transfer RNA is filed under the name Sciobius sp. SCI01. RNAcentral describes it as "tRNA-Cys". The record is from RNAcentral. Lineage: Eukaryota; Metazoa; Arthropoda; Insecta; Coleoptera; Curculionidae.